CCUAGAGCUCUCGCAGACUAGUCACCACUCAGGGAAAAGCCUGGGAUGACCUUCCUGAAAUCCUUCCUAGAUAUCUCAGCUUUGGAUUUAUAUCUGGAAGUGUCCAUGCCGUGGUCCAGCAAGUCCUCAGGAGAUAGUAGCGCCUGACAAGUCAACGGAUGGUGUGGGAGGCUGCAGAGAGUUGUUUGCCACUCCCAUAUAAAGCUCAUGGUAGAUAUGACUUCAAUCCCAGCCUUCAGGAGGCUAAGCUACUUCAUCCUGGAAGAGAAGGAAUGAUUUGUUAUUUUGUUGCACGUGAGGGAAGAACUGUAUUUGUGUACUCCUGUCCCUAUUUGUGGAUUAAGAAAGCAAAAUCUCAAAGGAAGUCAGUAUAGACAGAAGACUUUACUUGGAGAUGACCAUGGCUUCCCUCUGCUGAAGACAGAAAAGAGACAAUUGUCCUGCAGAAAGAGAAGUAGAGGCAUUUAGUUUCGUUACUGAACGGAGCUGAGAAGCUGCUAAAAGCCGAUCAUGGGCUGUGAAUAUGGG
This is a long non-coding RNA of Microtus oregoni (creeping vole), 528 nucleotides long. RefSeq lists it as uncharacterized. The record is from RefSeq and is a predicted model, not a curated record. The transcript is spliced from 4 exons. NCBI's taxonomy places the organism in Eukaryota, Metazoa, Chordata, Mammalia, Rodentia, Cricetidae.